GAGGCCAACCCUAUAUUGAUAUGCCAGGAUGGGAGAAACACCGGUAAAUGCGUGGAGAAAAAUAAAGCAGGGUAAAGAGGACCACAGAUGACUAGACAUUUGCUGCUUUCUGUAGCGUGCUCCGAGGAAGUGACACCUAACUAGAGACUGGAAGGACGUGAAGGUGGAUGUCAGGAGGGUCCCUCGUGAUAGGCAUGGAAAGCACCCUGGGCCAAAGAAGUCUUGGUGUGAUCAGGACACAAAGAGGGAGCAAUGGGGAAGUGGGAAGAUAAGAGGUCGGAGAAUGAAGGGAGAAUCAUUUAGGGCCGUGUAAGCCAUGGCAAAGAUUUUGACAUUUACGCCGAGUAUAUAUGAGAAGUCAUUGAAGGGUUUCAGUGCAGCAGUGCGGAUAAUAGGCAGAAUGGAAGAGGAAGCCUCUGGUGUAACCGGGAGCAGGAAAAUUGGGUGCUCACAAUAGGGAAGUGUGUCACCCAAGUUUUUUGGUGUUUUUUUUUUCAGUUAGUGCUAUCAUGCAUGUUAUAGCCAACUCCUGUAAUAGGAAUGAGCCACCAGCCAGGCACUGCUGAGCUUUGACAAGGAACCCUACAGCAAUAGAACCUUUACCUGGAGAUGCAGAAGAGAAAGCCUGCUUCCUGCAGGCGGCUCGCCCUCAAGAGGAAACUGGUCCAGCUGGUGAGCUUGCCCAGUUAUGCUUCUCGAAGGUCUUAACCCAAGUCAGUCGACUUCCCAGGGAUGGACUGAGCAAAGGUGUGAGAGAGGGGCUGCUGGAGAGGAAGAGGUAGGUUUCAGUUAGAGCAAGAGUGUUGGGCAAACAUUCAAAAAAGCUGGAAAUGAAGGAAAUUGUGCUGAAGAUCAUGAGUCCCAGAGGACACAACCAGAAGGUUCUGGGAAUCUGGGAUGAGUGGGAGAUGAAACUUCUAAUCUUUGCCCCCUAACGCUUAGAACAUGGGGCAGGUGUCAGAUGAUUAUUUGUCCCUCCCGUGAAACCUGCUGGGGCCCGGGGAGGGCUGGGGAAGGCGCUGGUGGCACGGGCACCCGUGUUUGGUUUGAGGGCAGACCUAACGGUGGGACAGAGUCUACUGGACUUGGAACCGCGAGGUUCGGAAGGGCUGGCGUGACUCUCCCCCUCCCACCUGCCUUCCCUUCCCCACACCUGGCCCGGCAGAGGACGGUCACCGCCACGAGGUCUUUCCCAGCUUGCCGACCCCGCCACCCAGGGGUGGAGCCCCGUUUCUUUACUCCUAACCCGGCACAAAAGCGAGCGUGUUCUUCUUCCCGUCGUUCUAAUCCCUUCCGAAGGGGCAGGCGGAUAAUCUCUGCAUCUGAGAGUGGACCGGUUUUGGGGUGACAUGGCCCAGGGGAAUAAUUACGGGCACACCAGCAAUGGGGUGGCAGAUGAGUCCCCCAACAUGCUGGUAUACAGAAAGGUAAGGACGCUUCUGCCUGUCUCGCCUUUUCCCCAGAUCGGAGUCUACGUCAACUUUGUGAAUGCCCCAAAUCACCAGUGACCGCACCCUAUAUUUGAAGAUAAUCUGCCAUCUUCAAGUGACAAAUGUGUGUAGAAACACAGGGAAAUAAAUGAGGCUAAUUGUACUUUGUCCUGAGUUCCCUGCUGAUUUUAUAUAGAUUUAUCUGUCAUCCACCAAAGCGCCAAGUUUGGGCCUUCGUAUAUUUCACUUGUUCCACCCAUGAUUUCAUAGCAUCCAUG
This 1708-nucleotide long non-coding RNA is filed under the name Dasypus novemcinctus (nine-banded armadillo). RNAcentral's name for it is "lncRNA (ENSDNOG00000049844.1)". Lineage: Eukaryota; Metazoa; Chordata; Mammalia; Cingulata; Dasypodidae. The record is from RNAcentral.